GGUGAGAUGACCGAGCGGUCUAAGGCGCUAGAAUCGGGUUACCGAAUCUAUCUAGUCUUUCGAGGCGUGGGUUCGAAUCCCACUCUCAUCA
Crucibulum laeve is the source of this 91-nucleotide non-coding RNA. NCBI's taxonomy places the organism in Eukaryota, Fungi, Basidiomycota, Agaricomycetes, Agaricales, Nidulariaceae. The record is from the annotation of a GenBank genome assembly.